GACGAACGCUGGCGGCGUGCUUAACACAUGCAAGUCGAGCGGAAAGGCCCUUCGGGGUACUCGAGCGGCGAACGGGUGAGUAACACGUGAGUAACCUGCCCCAGACUUUGGGAUAACCCUCGGAAACGGGGGCUAAUACCGGAUACGACACAGCUUCGCAUGGGGUCUGUGUGGAAAGUUUUUCGGUUUGGGAUGGGCUCGCGGCCUAUCAGCUUGUUGGUGAGGUGAUGGCCUACCAAGGCGACGACUGGUAGCCGGCCUGAGAGGGCGACCGGCCACACUGGGACUGAGACACGGCCCAGACUCCUACGGGAGGCAGCAGUGGGGAAUAUUGCACAAUGGGCGGAAGCCUGAUGCAGCGACGCCGCGUGAGGGAUGACGGCCUUCGGGUUGUAAACCUCUUUCAGCAGGGACGAAGCGUAAGUGACGGUACCUGCAGAAGAAGCGCCGGCCAACUACGUG
This 462-nucleotide ribosomal RNA is filed under the name uncultured bacterium. RNAcentral's name for it is "partial 16S ribosomal RNA". It matches the Rfam family "Bacterial small subunit ribosomal RNA", at positions 28 to 507 of the family's 1533-position model. The record is from RNAcentral.